Non-coding RNA from Paramuricea clavata, 1517 nucleotides. Lineage: Eukaryota; Metazoa; Cnidaria; Anthozoa; Malacalcyonacea; Plexauridae. The record is from the annotation of a GenBank genome assembly.
UUCACUAUCAAAACAACAAGAGUGAGAUUAUAUGGCGGAUUUUGUAAAGCCGACCACCGCCAUAAAGCUUCAGUUUUGGAAGGACACGAUCUUCUUUUUGUUCAUUGUGUAUCGUCAGAGCCUACGCUGUUGGUUCCCAUGGGUUAUCGUGUGUUCAGUUUUGAAUGCCUUGAGAUUCACAUCAGUUUUCUGGAUAAUUUGCAUAUCAGAAGAAUCGCUAUUUUAAUUGUCUAUUUGUCUCUAAAAGUUGAUGAAACAUUCGCCGAUUGCAAUAGCCCAGCAUUGAUAGAGAUACAUUCCAGUUGUGCUUUUAGGGUAAGUCGUUUGCUUUAAUCGUUAAAGCGAAUACAAAGGCAAUGUACCUACACAAUGCUUUUUUUAUGAUUCAGAUUUUUAUAGCCAAUGUUGGUAACAAUAUGUCAAUAUUUGUGCUUUCCAUUUUGAAUAUAAGCAUAUAUAGAGCUAAAAUAGUUUAAGUUAGAGAAGCUUAGACUGUUCAUUUGGUUUGAUCAUAGAGGUUUGAUUACUUUGGUAUUUUAUUACUAUUAAAGUAAUUUAUUUUAUUAUCCAUUGAAUUGCAUGAGUCACAUUAAUUGCACCAUUUAUUAUUUUACUCUGUCUCAUGCCAGAUUGUUUUACUCUGUCUAAUGGCAGCUGGCCUAUCUGCCCAUGUGUCUAGUUAACCCAUUGAGUCACACUGUCCCCGCAUGUGCCCUACUUUAAUAUUGUACUUUGUUAAACUGAAUAUUGUUUUCAUAUGUUGCAGUUCUCUGACCUCAGUGAUCUCGGGCAAGAUGGAACAGGACAAUCUUUUAUCUUUGAGAAUGUUGUUUUGUGGGAUUUCAAUAUUCUGCCAUCCCCACCUUCUCAAACAAUUCAACCUCGAGAUCCAGAUACUGUUAAUGAAGAGUUGGACAGUGUGCUGUCACCAAUAAAUUUACAAGGGCAAACUGGAUGUAACUGUGAUCUACAACCAAUAAAUUUACAAGGGCAAACUGGAUGUAACUGUGAUCUACAACCAAUAAAUUAUGUGUGCUUGGUGGAUAUUACUCCACAGUACAGCAUUGUUGAUUGUGAAAAGUGGACCAUGGGACAGAGAUGACCCAAGAAACAAUUAUAACAGUGACAUAGAUUACUAGAAUAUUUUUAAAUUAUUUUAUUUAUUAUGGAUUCCAACAUAUUUAAUUUAUUAUGGAUCCCUACAUUGUAAAUUGAUGUUUGUGAUGUUAUUCUGAGUGUGCAUGCACAUCGGGCAAGCUGAAAAGUUUGCCUGACCACGGUGGGAAUCGAACCUGCGAUCUUUGGGAUAUUAGUCCACACUCAGAGUAACAUCACAAACAUCAUAUUCACCUGAGUACAUAACACCAACACACACAAGAAGUAUAUUGUAAAUUUAUUUUAUUUUAUUUUAUUUUAUUAUGGAUCCCUACAUAUUUUAUUAUGGAUCCCUACGAUUAUAGCAGUGACAUAGAUUACUUGGAUAUUGUAAAUUGUUGUUAUUAUAUUUUAUUAUGGAC